GUCUGGAAUAACCCUGGGAAACUAGGGCUAAUACCGGAUACGCCCUUUUGGGGAAAGGUUUACUGCCGGAAGAUCGGCCCGCGUCUGAUUAGCUAGUUGGUGGGGUAACGGCCUACCAAGGCGACGAUCAGUAGCUGGUCUGAGAGGAUGAUCAGCCACACUGGGACUGAGACACGGCCCAGACUCCUACGGGAGGCAGCAGUGGGGAAUAUUGGACAAUGGGCGCAAGCCUGAUCCAGCCAUGCCGCGUGAGUGAUGAAGGCCUUAGGGUUGUAAAGCUCUUUUAUCCGGGACGAUAAUGACGGUACCGGAGGAAUAAGCCCCGGCUAACUUCGUGCCAGCAGCCGCGGUAAUACGAAGGGGGCUAGCGUUGCUCGGAAUCACUGGGCGUAAAGGGCGCGUAGGCGGCGUUUUAAGUCGGGGGUGAAAGCCUGKGGCUCAACCACAGAAUGGCCUUCGAUACUGGGGACGCUUGAGUAUGGUAGAGGUUGG
This 492-nucleotide ribosomal RNA is filed under the name uncultured bacterium. Its description in RNAcentral is "bacterial SSU rRNA". It matches the Rfam family "Bacterial small subunit ribosomal RNA", at positions 136 to 661 of the family's 1533-position model. The record is from RNAcentral.